Molecule: small nuclear RNA, 115 nt
Organism: Mustela putorius furo (domestic ferret)
Lineage: Eukaryota; Metazoa; Chordata; Mammalia; Carnivora; Mustelidae
Source: Ensembl
GUGCUCGCUUCUGCAGCACAUAUACUAAAAUCAGAACGAUACGGAGAAGAUGAGCAUGGCCCCUGCACAAGGAUGACAGGCAGAAUUUUAGAGUUAUCAUCUGAAGCCUUUAUUU